Molecule: regulatory RNA element, 141 nt
Organism: Ethanoligenens harbinense
Lineage: Bacteria; Bacillati; Bacillota; Clostridia; Eubacteriales; Oscillospiraceae
Rfam family: FMN riboswitch aptamer (RFN element)
About the family: The RFN element is a highly conserved domain that is found frequently in the 5'-untranslated regions of prokaryotic mRNAs that encode for flavin mononucleotide (FMN) biosynthesis and transport proteins. This element is a metabolite-dependent riboswitch that directly binds FMN in the absence of proteins.
Source: Rfam
AAAUGUCUUCAGGGCAGGGUGAAAUUCCCGAUCGGCGGUAUAGUCCGCGAGCGCGUAAGCGCAGGGCUUGACAUGACGUUCAAGUCAGGAUUUGGUGAAAUUCCAAAACCGACAGUAUAGUCUGGAUGGAAGAAGAUGUGC